Molecule: ribosomal RNA, 253 nt
Filed under: uncultured prokaryote
Description: partial 16S ribosomal RNA
Rfam family: Bacterial small subunit ribosomal RNA
Source: RNAcentral
UACGAGGGGGGCGAGCGUUGUUCGGAAUUAUUGGGCGUAAAGGGAGCGUAGGCGGGUUUCUAAGUCAGGUGUUUAAUCCCGGGGCCCAACCCCGGACAGGCACUUGAAACUGGGAAUCUUGAAUAGUGGAGAGGUCAGUGGAAUUGGAGGUGUAGCGGUGGAAUGCGUAGAGAUCUCCAAGAACACCAGUUGCGAAGGCGGCUGACUGGACACAUAUUGACGCUGAGGCUCGAAAGCAUGGGGAGCAAACAGG